This 492-nucleotide ribosomal RNA is filed under the name uncultured bacterium. RNAcentral describes it as "partial 16S ribosomal RNA". It matches the Rfam family "Bacterial small subunit ribosomal RNA", at positions 29 to 507 of the family's 1533-position model. The record is from RNAcentral.
AGUGAACGCUGGCGGUAGGCCUAACACAUGCAAGUCGAACGGCAGCACAGUAAGAGCUUGCUCUUACGGGUGGCGAGUGGCGGACGGGUGAGGAAUACAGCGGAAUCUACUUUUUCGUGGGGGAUAACGUAGGGAAACUUACGCUAAUACCGCAUACGACCUACGGGUGAAAGCAGGGGCUUUUCGGACCUUGCUCGAUUGAAUGAGCCGAUGUCGGAUUAGCUAGUUGGCGGGGUAAAGGCCCACUAAGGCGACGAUCCGUAGCUGGUCAACGAGGAGGAUCAGCCACACUGGGAGUGAGACACGGUCCAGACUCCUACGGGGAGCAGCAGUGGAGAAUAUUGGACAAUGGGCGCAGGCCUGAUCCAGCCAUACCGCGUGGGUGAAGAAAGCCUUGGGGUUGUAAAGCACUUUUGUUGGGAAAGAAAAGCAGCAGGUUAAUACCCCGCUGUUCUGACGGUACCCAAAGAAUAAGCACCGGCUAACUUCGUG